Molecule: long non-coding RNA, 1628 nt
Organism: Xiphophorus hellerii (green swordtail)
Lineage: Eukaryota; Metazoa; Chordata; Actinopteri; Cyprinodontiformes; Poeciliidae
Exons: 2
Source: RefSeq, a predicted model, not a curated record
AAGGAAAUAAUUCCUUAAUAUUGAUGAAAAAAUACCAGUUCCCUUAGCAGACUAUUUCACUUAUAACAAGACAUUUUUCCCAUAUUAUAAGUUAAUUAAUCUCCCAGAGGAACAAGUAUCUUUUCAUCAUAAUAAGCGAACAUUUACUUUAAAAAGCUUCCAUUUCUUGCUAGAAAGUUACUUGUAAGUUAGUUUUGUCAUAUUUCAAGUGUAAUAAAAUAUUUGCACUAGUCACUACUAGACCAAAACACUUGAUAAAAUGUAGGUUUUUUGUAGUGUAAAUAAAUAACAAACAAACAAGCGUGUAUUCAUUUUAAAUUUGAAAGGCAUUUUCCAUUCAUUGCCCAGCAAAUAAACAAUAAGUCAGUGGUGAGAAAAGCUGUAUUAAGUUUUGGUAUGUGCUUAGAUAUGGUGCAAUACCAUUGCCAUAAUACUUCACAACAAAUCAGGUUAUUGGAUUAUUUAACUUGACUACGUUUCAUUUAGGUUAUCAGUUUACUUUUAAGAUGCUACACAUUAGCGUGAUUGAAAAUAUUGAAUAAGUUGAAACAUACCAACAGAAUUGGUGAUUAGAUGACACUUAUUGAUCCUGGCAAACUGUUUAUGAUUUUGACCUUUGACGGUUGAUGGAUAUAAGCCGUAACAUCCCCUCCUCUACAAUCCUGCAGACAUUGAUGUAGAAAAUGGAUGAAACCUUUUCUAACUUCAAGACAGAUCACAACUUCAGUGUCCAAAGUCGGUCCUUGAGGGCCGCUGGCCUCCAUGUUUUAGUCCUUUCCCUGGUUCAACACACCUGAAUCAAAUGAGACAUCGAUGGGUCUGCAGUUCUGUUUCCAAGACACCUCAGUGAGUAACCUUUACACAGGUAACAGAAUACAAAUUUAUUUUUUUGUUUCAGUUCCAUUUAUAAAGAUAAACUCUUACAUUAUAUAGUCACUACACGGAGAGAUUGAAAAGCUAAAAUGUAUUUUCUUAGAAAAUCAAAACAUUGAAUAAAGUCCAUAAUUAUAUUUAUUUGAUGGCCUUGACAGUCAUAGGUAAGACUGCUGUCUUGAGUUUCAUUAACACCUUCCACUAAAAGGGCAAGUCAUCAAAGGUUGGUACUAAAGAUGCCCAUAGAGGGCUGCUUUCCAGUACAAAAAGGAAAGUUGAAUGGAAGGUAAAAGUGUGGUAGAAAAAUAUGCACAAGCAUUGUGGUUAACAGAGAGGAUUGUAAAACAACGCUCAUUAAGGAGUCUAGGAUUGAAGUAACAAAAUAAUUUCUAUUGGCCUUAUAUAAUAUUCUAAUAUUGUAGGAAACACAAAUUUGAGUUUUAAUUAGCUCUAAGUGAUAAUCACCAGAAUUACCAGCAAUAGACACUGAAAAUAUCUGUGUAUUAUGAAAAUUUAUUGAUUAAUUUGACUUUCAUAUAUAUACAAAAACAUAUUCUUAAUCUUUUUUGUUUGUAUUCUUAUUUAUUUAGUUGCAUCUGUUUGCUGAUUAAUAUUAAAACUAACAAAAUGAAAUGGUAAUAUUGGAUGUUUUUAAAUGGAAUUUUCAGAAAAUCACUGUAAAAAUACCUGAACAUAAACACAUUGGAAUAAGUUAUUUGUCCAUUUUUUCUCUCAAUAAAGUACUGUAUGGUCAA